RNAcentral lists this small RNA (1038 nucleotides) under Histoplasma ohiense. Its description in RNAcentral is "hypothetical lncRNA". The record is from RNAcentral. Lineage: Eukaryota; Fungi; Ascomycota; Eurotiomycetes; Onygenales; Ajellomycetaceae.
AGGCUGUUCAGUUCUCUUGCUAUGGAUUUCAUUGUUGGAUUACCACCAGUAAUUUGAAAGGGAAUCAUCUAUGAUAGUAUUUUGGUCAUACUGGACUGCUAUACUAAACUAGCUAAGUACUUCCCUUGCAUGACUUCAAUUACUGCUUCUGAUUUUGCAGAGUUGUUCAUAGAUAUUCUAAGCAAUUACAGUUCAUCUUCAUCUAUCAUAUCGGCCACCAGGUAGCGCCUUGGCGUGGGGACCCAAGGUGCGUGGGUUCGAAACCCACAGGGGACAACAUUACAUCCAGAGCCAACUUCUCAGCUCCUAAAAUAAUGGGAUGUGAACUUGCCAAGUAGGUACCUUCGGGUGGACCUACUACCUGAUUUAGCUUAUUGUUUCUGGGCUGGAAACCUGUAUUGCAUGUACCAAAUCCUGUCUUUCAUUAAUUUUCCUAUGUUCUUGUUAUAUUCUUGGCGCUGUUCAACACUAAGCAUUCCUCCGGUAUAACCAACUCUUGCCUGUAUUUAACAUCACACAAGGACUCGUCAUAAGCGCUGCUUGCAUACGAGUAUAACGGAAGAAUAAUAAUAAUAAUAAUAAUCAUCUAUCAUAUCUGAUAGAAAUAAGUUGUUUACCAGUCACUACUGAUCAAUAUUCUGUUAUUAUUUAUGAGUUAAGCACAACCUGAGUACGGCAUUCCACCCUCAAACUGAUGGGCAAACAGAACACCAGAAUCAAACAUUAGAGAAUUAUUUACAAGCAUACUCAAACUACCAUCAGAAUAACUGAGUGAAUCUACUUCCACAGACACAAUUUGUCUACAAUUCUGUUUCUCAAGCAUCUAUUAAUAUGCCAUCAUUUCAAGCACUACUAGGUUACAAUUCUGUUUCAUCAAGAGAGAUAAUUGAUAAAGAAUCUGAAUCUGUAACCUCUAUUGAUCUUGAGCUCUUAGCUACAGCAAGGGUGAAGAAAUUACAAGAGUGUAAUAGGCGCAACGGAGAUAUCUAUAUUAGGAAAUAGCUAUGUGGCGAUAGAAGAACACAGAACACGCCAGAA